GACGAACGCUGGCGGCGUGCCUAAUACAUGCAAGUCGAACGCAUUUUCUUUCACCGUAGCUUGCUACACCGAAAGAAAAUGAGUGGCGAACGGGUGAGUAACACGUGGGUAACUUGCCCAUCAGCGGGGGAUAACACUUGGAAACAGGUGCUAAUACCGCAUAAUUCCAUUUACCGCAUGGUAAAUGGAUGAAAGGCGCUUUUGCGUCACUGAUGGAUGGACCCGCGGUGCAUUAGCUAGUUGGUGGGGUAACGGCCUACCAAGGCUGCGAUGCAUAGCCGACCUGAGAGGGUGAUCGGCCACACUGGGACUGAGACACGGCCCAGACUCCUACGGGAGGCAGCAGUAGGGAAUCUUCGGCAAUGGACGCAAGUCUGACCGAGCAACGCCGCGUGAGUGAAGAAGGUUUUCGGAUCGUAAAACUCUGUUGUUAGAGAAGAACAAGGAUGAGAGUGGAAAGUUCAUCCCUUGACGGUAUCUAACCAGAAAGCCACGGCUAACUACGU
RNAcentral lists this ribosomal RNA (506 nucleotides) under uncultured bacterium. RNAcentral describes it as "partial 16S ribosomal RNA". It matches the Rfam family "Bacterial small subunit ribosomal RNA", at positions 28 to 506 of the family's 1533-position model. The record is from RNAcentral.